AACGAACGCUGGCGGUGCGUCUUAAGCAUGCAAGUCGAACGGCAAGAAAGUGCUUGCACUUUCCUAGAGUGGCGGACUGGUGAGUAACGCGUGGGUGAUCUACCUUUAAGAUGGGGAUAGCUUUUAGAAAUAAGAGAUAAUACCGAAUGUGCUUACGAUACUAUGGUGUUGUAAGGAAAGGAGCGUUUGCUCCGCUUAAAGAUGAGCCUGCGUCCCAUUAGCUAGUUGGUGAGGUAAAGGCCCACCAAGGCGAUGAUGGGUAUCCGACCUGAGAGGGUGAUCGGACACAUUGGGACUGAGAUACGGCCCACACUCCUACGGGAGGCAGCAGCUGAGAAUCUUCCGCAAUGGACGAAAGUCUGACGGAGCGACACCGCGUGAAUGAUGAAGGCUGAAAAGUUGUAAAAUUCUUUUGCAGACAAAGAAUAAGUGCAGGAGGUAUAAUGCCUGCAUGAUGACGGUAGUUAUGCGAAUAAGCCCCGGCUAAUUACGUGCCAGCAGCCGCGGUAAUACGUAAGGGGCGAGCGUUGUUCGGAAUUAUUGGGCGUAAAGGGCAUGUAGGCGGUUAGGUAAGCCUGGUGUGAAAUCUACGAGCUUAACUCGUAAACUGCAUUGGGUACUGCUUGACUAGAAUCAUAGAGGGGAAACUGGAAUUCCAAGUGUAGGGGUGGAAUCUGUAGAUAUUUGGAAGAACACCGGUGGCGAAGGCGGGUUUCUGGCCGAUGAUUGACGCUGAUAUACGAAGGUGCGGGGAGCAAACAGGAUUAGAUACCCUGGUAGUCCGCACAGUAAACGAUGUACACUAGGUGUCGGGGACAAGAGCUUCGGUGCCGACGCAAACGCAUUAAGUGUACCGCCUGGGAAGUAUGCCCGCAAGGGUGAAACUCAAAGGAAUUGACGGGGGCCCACACAAGCGGUGGAGCAUGUGGUUUAGUUUCGAUGAUACGCGAGAAAACCCUUACCCUGGGGUUUUGAACCUUCAAUGGAGUCAUAGUGG
RNAcentral lists this ribosomal RNA (997 nucleotides) under Treponema sp. oral taxon G42. RNAcentral's name for it is "bacterial SSU rRNA". It matches the Rfam family "Bacterial small subunit ribosomal RNA", at positions 28 to 1014 of the family's 1533-position model. The record is from RNAcentral. Lineage: Bacteria; Pseudomonadati; Spirochaetota; Spirochaetia; Treponematales; Treponemataceae.